RNAcentral lists this transfer RNA (73 nucleotides) under Mycetomoellerius zeteki. RNAcentral's name for it is "Trachymyrmex zeteki tRNA". It matches the Rfam family "tRNA". From Rfam's summary of the family: Transfer RNA (tRNA) molecules are approximately 80 nucleotides in length. Lineage: Eukaryota; Metazoa; Arthropoda; Insecta; Hymenoptera; Formicidae. The record is from Rfam by way of RNAcentral.
GUCUCGGUAGUCUAAAGGCUUAGGACGCUCGCACGGAAUGCAAGAGAUCCUGGUUCGACUCCCGGCCGAGGCA